AUCCCCGAUGAUGAUUUCCUUUUCACAGACCUGUACUGAUUUCCAUGAGGAUAAGUAAUUCUGAGGAGGU
Molecule: small nucleolar RNA, 70 nt
Organism: Microtus ochrogaster (prairie vole)
Lineage: Eukaryota; Metazoa; Chordata; Mammalia; Rodentia; Cricetidae
Gene: SNORD25
Rfam family: Small nucleolar RNA SNORD25
About the family: U25 is a member of the C/D class of snoRNA which contain the C (UGAUGA) and D (CUGA) box motifs. U25 is found in gene clusters in plants, and within the U22 snoRNA host gene (UHG) in mammals. U25 is thought to as a 2'-O-ribose methylation guide for ribosomal RNA.
Source: Ensembl